Molecule: long non-coding RNA, 1787 nt
Filed under: Podarcis lilfordi (Lilford's wall lizard)
Lineage: Eukaryota; Metazoa; Chordata; Lepidosauria; Squamata; Lacertidae
Source: RNAcentral
UGAUUCACCUGGACUGCACUGCUGGCUGUUAGCCGGCAGUCCCUAGGUUAUCUCCCAUAUGGGGUAAACCUGUUUGUACAUAUUUGUAACUUUAAGCCUAAAGCCUGCCUUCAGGGAUCACACUGUGCUCUGCUUGAUCGUGAGUAAAAUUACUUUUUGUUACUCACGAAUAAGACUGUUGUGUUUUUAUUUUUUUAGGAGGUAUAAAAGGGGUCUUACCAGGAAUAAUAGAACAGAUCUCAAUCUGGGCAAGCCAGACUGAAUUGCAUAUUAUUUUAAGAGACUCACACGAGUCUGCAACCAGCCUUCUUGCUGUAUAAAAGGGGGAAUGCACUCUGCUGCAUAAAGAAGCUUGCUAGAGUGAGUUAGGAAGGAUAAUAUUAAUCAAUAGAUCCUCUCCUGUUACCCACAACACUCCCACAGUUUUUAGCUUCAGUUGUGUUAUGCGAGGAUGGGGGGUGGUGGCAUGAGAUUAUGGCACUGGAUUGAAAUAACUUGAAAAUAGAUCCAAAUAUCCCUUCUAUGCUGUUCCCCCCCACCCAGGCAGGAGUGGAAUAACUCCAUCUUCUGGGAACACUGCUGUCAACCCAGCCCAAAAUGAGCCUCACCGGUUCCAAUACUAACCACUCUAAAGCAGAUGUGGAGAGUCCAUGGCCCUUCCAUAUGUUGCUGGACUCCAGCUCCCAUCAGCCCCAACCAUCACUACCAAUGACUAGGAAUGAUGGUGGCUGUAGUCACACAACAGCUGGAGCUCAAGGUGUUCCCCACCCCUGCUUACUCCAGUGUAACACCAUCGAAUGUGUAUGAUCUGUGUGCACAAGAACUUCUGAAGCCCCCUGAGAUUAACACCUAUCCCUACAGUUUUCAAUAUAAUUUAGUUUCAAGGAAGUGUGCUUAGGAAUGCUGUUCUAUCUUUGAGUUUUGAAAAAAACAAAAACAUGGCGAAACGAUCCUUUCUUUCUUUUCCUUUUGCAGGUUUGCAGGAAGUUGCUUUGUGUUCCAUCUCCAGCACUGGUAGGAAGUGACUCUUCAAGGUUUGGAGCAGAAGUCUUUCCACCCCUACCUAGAGAUGCUGGGGAUUGAACCCAGAAUCGAUAGCAUGCAGAGCCUCUUCUCUCCCACUGAACUGUGGCCCUUCGCUAACUUAGCUGCAAGGAAGGCUCACACCUUUGGAAAGCAGAAAUCAAUGGUUUGGCGCAGAUGAACCUCAUGGUCCCACCCAACUCUACAGUUCUAUGAUUCUAUGGUUUGGCCUCCACAAGAUGAUGGGUCGAGCUAGGAGUCUGCGAUACUCUUUGGAAAUAGGACCUCGGUCCCACUGACGGAACGGGCUUCCUGGGAAAGCGUUUUCACGACCUGGGAAGCUCAGCCACGCUGGUGCCUCCCUGGCGUUGGGCGGAGAGGGACUCAAGAGGCUGUUCCCUCGGGGUACGCCCCUGGAUGUUUGAGGCGCGAAGGAAAGCCCUACACACCCUCUGCAAAAGAAGAGAAGGGGACCCAUUGAGACUGAAUCCUGGGUAGCUGUGCCCCCGAAGUGGUUCCCAAACCGGGAGAAGAAAACAAACAAUGAAUAAAUUCCUGCAUUCUCGUGAAAAGGCUGAGGAGCGAGGGAGGGCUCGAGGCGAAAAGCAAGCGAGCCCCGGACAAGCGCUGCGGAUGUCCCUGCGAGGAUUCACUUUGUGUGCUCACAGAAGGGCGGAGGGGCUAGCGAGGGCGGCUGCUGGUCCCCGCAUACCACCCAAGAUGUUAUUCACGGCGAACAAUUACCAUUAUCUGUCCCCACUUUG